RNAcentral lists this ribosomal RNA (485 nucleotides) under Diasemopsis meigenii. RNAcentral's name for it is "partial 16S ribosomal RNA". The stretch from base 251 to 409 matches the Rfam family "Bacterial large subunit ribosomal RNA", at positions 2473 to 2632 of the family's 2925-position model. The record is from RNAcentral. Lineage: Eukaryota; Metazoa; Arthropoda; Insecta; Diptera; Diopsidae.
GUUUCAUUUAAAUUUAAAUUAGAAUUUUAUUUUUUAGUCAAAAAGCUAAAAUUUUAUUAAAAGACGAGAAGACCCUAUAAAUCUUUAUAAUUUUUUUUAAUUUAAUUUUUUAAGAUAAAUUUUAUUAUAAUAAAAAAAAUUAUUUUAUUGGGGUGAUAUUAAAAUUUAAAUAACUUUUAAUUAUUUAAAUUACAUUAAUUUAUGAAUUGUUGAUCCAUUAUUAAUGAUUAAAAAAUUAAGUUACUUUAGGGAUAACAGCGUAAUUUUUUUGGAGAGUUCUUAUCGAUAAAAAAGUUUGCGACCUCGAUGUUGGAUUAAGAGAUAUUUUUAAUGCAGAAGUUAAAAUAUAAAGUCUGUUCGACUUUUAAAUUCUUACAUGAUCUGAGUUCAAACCGGUGUAAGCCAGGUUGGUUUCUAUCUUUAAUUUUAUAUAAUAUUUUAGUACGAAAGGAAUUUAUAUUAGAAAAAUUUUUUAUAAAAAGAAU